This 254-nucleotide ribosomal RNA is filed under the name uncultured bacterium. RNAcentral's name for it is "partial 16S ribosomal RNA". It matches the Rfam family "Bacterial small subunit ribosomal RNA", at positions 524 to 776 of the family's 1533-position model. The record is from RNAcentral.
UACGGAGGGUGCGAGCGUUGUCCGGAAUCACUGGGCGUAAAGGGCGCGUAGGUGGCUCGUGAAGCGUGCGGUGAAAGUCCGAGGCUCAACCUCGGAUCGGCCGUGCGGACUCGCGGGCUCGAGCGUUGUAGAGGCGGGUGGAAUUCCGGGUGUAGCGGUGGAAUGCGUAGAGAUCCGGAAGAACACCGGUGGCGAAGGCGGCCCGCUGGGCAACUGCUGACACUGGAUGCGCGACAGCGUGGGGAGCAAACAGG